UACGUAGGGGGCAAGCGUUGUCCGGAAUCAUUGGGCGUAAAGAGCGCGUAGGCGGCUCGUUAAGUGUGAAGCUAAAUCUCUAGGCUCAACCUGGAAACUAUUUCGCAUACUGGCGAGCUGGAGUGAUGAAGAGGUUUGUGGAAUUCCUGGUGUAGCGGUGAAAUGCGUUGAUAUCAGGAGGAACACCCAUGGCGAAGGCAGCAAACUGGUCAUCAACUGACGCUGAGGCGCGAAAGCGUGGGUAGCAAACAGG
RNAcentral lists this ribosomal RNA (253 nucleotides) under uncultured bacterium. Its description in RNAcentral is "partial 16S ribosomal RNA". It matches the Rfam family "Bacterial small subunit ribosomal RNA", at positions 524 to 776 of the family's 1533-position model. The record is from RNAcentral.